This is an RNA transcript of Capsicum annuum, 3373 nucleotides long. It is a transcript of the gene named serine/threonine protein phosphatase 2A 57 kDa regulatory subunit B' theta isoform, with no coding region annotated. The record is from RefSeq and is a predicted model, not a curated record. Lineage: Eukaryota; Viridiplantae; Streptophyta; Magnoliopsida; Solanales; Solanaceae. The transcript has 3 exons.
AAGUCAACAUAUCAUUGCUGCACACGCUAAAAUACAACUCCACUAACCAUUUACUUCGUCAACAAACAACACCAAAAAUGUAAACAAACUAAAAAAAAUAAAAUGAAGAAUCCCAAAAUUGAUUAACCAAAUUUCCUUCUGAAUAAUUGCUCUAUUCGCAUUUUCUCAACUGUGACAAGAAAGAAAAAAGGAAUUAUUUUCUGUGUUUUUUUUUUUUUGGAUUUCAAUUUGCAUUUAAAAAUUAUUUUGGGGAUUAUUGAAAAAGUGAAGAGAGCGUGUGAGAAUAUACUUUAUUUGUAAACCCCAUUUUGGUAUGAUUGUUUUAGUGGAAGAAGAAAGUUGAAAAAAAAAGGUGCUAUUUCUUUGAAUUUAGUACUCAUAAUUUUCUUUGCACAUCUGGUUUUUAAGUCAAACGGCUCAAACUUUAUACAUGAGUUUCUGAUAAAAGGUUCAAGAACUUAAGUUUUUCUUUAGAUUGAUUCAGGUACUGCUCCAUUCUUGAUCUCAAUUGUUGAGUUGGAAUUUCUUCGAAGCCCCUGUAGUUGAAAAAAAGUGUGCUUUUAGCCCCUAAGUUGAAGAUGAUAGUUAUUUCUGUUAUCUCCUGCAUUAGUUGAUGAAGUAAUCAUCAUUUUGUGCUGACCCUUUUGGAAUUGCAAGCUAGUGGCAUGUGGGUUUCAGCUGAGGAGGAAAUAUUGUCUUAGUUUUAGUUGUUGAAUUUUUACUUGUUUCUGCAAAGUUACAAUUUUUGAGAAAUAUGAUCAAGCAGAUAUUUGGUAAGAAGAACCCUAAGAAGCAGUCGAAGACGGCUGGCUCAACCAGUUCAUCGACUAGUUCAAAGAAAAGUGAUGGAGGAAGUAAAAAGAUUGGGGUAUCAGAUAACAAUACUGUUAUUUCAGCCCCUUAUUCUGUUUCAGCUUCAACGGGGGAUAAAUUUGUCCGAGAUGGGAGUUUAAAGCCCAAUGGGAAUCUCGUUGCACCUUCUUACGAUGCAUUGCCAAGUUUCAAGGAUGUUCCUAUUUCUGAGAAGCACAACUUGUUUAUUAGGAAGCUCAACAUGUGUUGUGUUUUGUUUGAUUUUACUGAUCCUACAAAGAACCUUAAAGAAAAGGAGACCAAGCGACAGACGUUAUUGGAGCUUGUGGAGUACGUAACGUCUGCAAAUGUAAAAUUUACAGAAGUGGUGAUGCAAGCAGAAGUAAAGAUGGUGUCUGUAAAUUUGUUCAGGGAACUCAUGCCCCAGCCUCGAGAGAACAAGACGUUGGCCUUUGAUGUGGAAGAGGACGAACCUGCCAUGGAUCCUUCAUGGCCACAUCUGCAGAUUGUGUAUGAGUUUCUUCUGAGGUUUGUUGCAUCACCCGAAACUGAUGCAAAAGUUGCGAAAAGAUAUAUAGAUCAUUCCUUUGUUCUCAGAUUGCUUGAUCUUUUUGACUCUGAAGAUCCUAGGGAGAGGGAGUACUUGAAAAUAAUACUGCAUCGUGUUUAUGGGAAGUUCAUGGUACACCGACCUUACAUCAGGAAGGCUAUUAAUAACAUAUUUUAUCAUUUCGUUUUUGAGACUGAAAAACAUAAUGGGAUUGCAGAGCUUCUGGAAAUACUGGGCAGCAUAAUUAAUGGGUUUGCUUUGCCUCUAAAAGAAGAACACAAGCUUUUUCUUGUCCGGACAUUGAUUCCCCUGCAUAAACCCAAAUGCUUAGCCAUGUACCAUCAACAGUUAAAUUAUUGCAUGACGCAGUUUGUGGAGAAAGACUGCAAGCUUGCUGAUACAGUUAUUAGGGGGUUGUUAAAGUAUUGGCCAAUAACAAAUAGCUCAAAAGAGGUCAUGUUCCUUGUUGAGUUGGAGGAAAUCUUGGAAGCUACUCAACCAGCAGAUUUCCAAAGGUGUAUGGUGCCGUUGUUUCAACGAAUUGCUCAGUGUUUGACUAGCUUGCAUUUUCAGGACCGUAGUACAGGACAGACGAUUGGCGCAAGACAUGAAUCACAAGGCCUUUACCAUUUUACCUCUUCAAAUUCCUUCAAAGCAUGCUCCGUUACAGACCCCCAAACCUAAUUCACAAACGUUUGGGACAUCCGAGUCUAUCCAAGCUGCAAAAGAUGGUGCCUAGUUUGUCUAGUUUAUCCACAUUAGAUUGUGAGUCAUGUCAACUUGGGAAACACACCCGUGCUACUUUCCCACGUAGUAUUGAGAUUCGUUCAGAGUCUAUUUUCUCAUUUGUACAUUCUGAUGUUUGGGGUCCUAGUAGAGUUGGUUCACCUUUAGGUUUUCGUUAUUUUGUUAGUUUCAUUGAUGAUUUUUCAAGAUGUACUUGGGUUUUCUUAAUGAAAGAUCGUUCUGAGAUAUUUUCUAUAUUCAAAAGUUUUUGUGCUGAAAUAUAAACUCAGUUUGGUGUUUCUAUUCGUACUUUUCGUAGUGACAAUGCCUUAGAAUACUUAUCCUCUCAGUUUCAGGAGCUUAUGACUCAUCAAGGAAUUGUUCACCAGACAUCUUGUCCGUACACCCCUCAGCAGAAUGGUAUAACAGAAAGAAAAAAUAGGCAUCUUCUUAAGACUGCUCGCACUCUUCUCAUUGAAUCCCAUGUUCCGCUACAAUUUUGGGGCGAUGCAGUCCUUUCAUCUUGUUAUCUAAUUAAUAGAAUGCCAUCAUCUUCCCUUCAGAAUAAGGUUCUCCAUUCUAUAUUGUUUCCACAUUCACAUCUCUGCUCUAUCCCCCCUCGUGUCUUUGGGAGCACAUGUUUUGUCCAUAACUUAGCCUUUGGAAAAGAUAAAUUAGCCCCUCGUGCUCUCAAGUUUGUUUUCCUUGGUUACUCUCGAGUUCAAAAAAGGUAUCUUUGUUAUUCACUAGAUCUUCGACGCUACUUUAUGUCUGCCGAUGUCAUUUUUUUUUGAAUCUCGACCUUACUAUUUAUCUUCUGAUCAUCCUGAUAUCUCUGAGAUUUUACCUGUAUCUCCAGUCUUACCCGCACCAUCCUUGGUCUUACCCACAUCUCCAGACUUGCCCGAACUAACCAAGUAAUCAACGGUUACUUCUACGUCUCCUGCUACUGUGCCACCACUUCUGACUUAUCAUUGUCGUUAUCGUCCACCAUUAGUCCCAAAUGAUUUAUGUAAUGCGUCGGACGCUGCUUCUAUUGCGGACUUUCCUUCUUCUAGCCAAUCAGUUGCACUUAAAAAAGGUGGCAGAGAGGGCUUUAUUCUUGUGGAACAGUGAUCAUAUUGAGAAUUUGAUAAAGCAACAUCGAAAGGUGAUACUGCCUAUCAUCUUUCCUGCACUGGAGAGAAAUACCAGAAACCAUUGGAAUCAGGCUGUUCACAGUUUGUCACUGAAUAUUCGAAAGAUAUUCUAUGAUCUUGAUCCUGAGCUAUUCAAGGAGUGCUU